This is a long non-coding RNA of Dreissena polymorpha, 881 nucleotides long. RefSeq lists it as uncharacterized. The transcript is spliced from 3 exons. NCBI's taxonomy places the organism in Eukaryota, Metazoa, Mollusca, Bivalvia, Myida, Dreissenidae. The record is from RefSeq and is a predicted model, not a curated record.
AUAUAAUACCUUGCAAUAUAAAACUAAGUUUUUAAUAUAUACACUUGACCACCUUUUCGCUAUACCUCUUUUUCACUGCGGGGAAUCACGUGGUUUUAUUUUGAUAUGGAACACGGAAAAUGGCGGCGUCAUUGUCUCGACUUUGGUUGUGUCGAAUUUGCGGCAAGGCUUUUCAAAGCGCCACAGUGUUAAGAGAUCAUGAAAGAAAACAUACGGGGGUAGCGCCAUACAAAUGUUGUGGACGGAUGUUCUACAGCAAAGCUAAUUUAACAAUACACAGGUGCGCAGCACAUAACAAAACUAAAGAUUUUGCGUGCGAGACUUGUGGGAGAUCAUUCGCAAUAAUGGCAGACAUAAGAACGUACAUGACACAUCAUCAAGAAGCGACGUUUAAAUGUGACACAUGCGGACAUCAAAUGAAUAGGAGAGACCAAUAUGAUAAUCACCUGGCUAUGCAUCUUGGGGCCAAGAAUCAUGCAUGCAAAUGCGGAAAGACAUACACUCACAAGCCGAAUUUGUAUAGGCAUCCGAAAUGCAAACAUGAUACAAAGGGAAUACUAAUGCAGUUGCAAGUAAUAAUACGCCAUCAGCUUAAGAAACUGCAACAAAUUUUGACCCAAUGUAUAGUAAGUGAUUCAUUUCAAUUGAUCGCAUAGAUGCAAUUUGUACACAGCCAUAUCGUGAUGAUUAUCCUCAGGGAGAGUGAUACGCUUUUGUUUAUUAUUUUAGUUUUUGAAGGUGAUAAUGGUGAUUUUGUUGUGCUAUGUUCUCAUGAUUAACACUGUGAUUUAAUUUAAUUAUCUGUGAUAUUGCUGAUUAGUGAAUACAUAAACGCAAAUCCAUGUUUCCUAUUAUUUUUUUAAAUAAAUAAAGCAAAAUAG